This 1494-nucleotide ribosomal RNA is filed under the name uncultured bacterium. RNAcentral's name for it is "bacterial SSU rRNA". It matches the Rfam family "Bacterial small subunit ribosomal RNA". The record is from RNAcentral.
AGAGUUUGAUCCUGGCUCAGAUUGAACGCUGGCGGCAUGCCUUACACAUGCAAGUCGAACGGCAGCACGGGGGCAACCCUGGUGGCGAGUGGCGAGCGGGUGAGUAACAUAUCGGAACGUGCCCUGGAGUGGGGGAUAACUAGUCGAAAGAUUAGCUAAUACCGCAUACGAUCUACGGAUGAAAGUGGGGGAUCGCAAGACCUCAUGCUCGUGGAGCGGCCGAUAUCUGAUUAGCUAGUUGGUGGGGUAAAGGCCUACCAAGGCAUCGAUCAGUAGCUGGUCUGAGAGGACGACCAGCCACACUGGGACUGAGACACGGCCCAGUCUCCUACGGGAGGCAGCAGUGGGGAAUUUUGGACAAUGGGCGCAAGCCUGAUCCAGCAAUGCCGCGUGAGUGAAGAAGGCCUUCGGGUUGUAAAGCUCUUUUGUCAGGGAAGAAACGGUGAGGGCUAAUAUCCUUUGCUAAUGACGGUACCUGAAGAAUAAGCACCGGCUAACUACGUGCCAGCAGCCGCGGUAAUACGUAGGGUGCAAGCGUUAAUCGGAAUUACUGGGCGUAAAGCGUGCGCAGGCGGUUGUGCAAGACCGAUGUGAAAUCCCCGGGCUUAACCUGGGAAUGGCAUUGGUGACUGCACGGCUAGAGUGCGUCAGAGGGGGGUAGAAUUCCACGUGUAGCAGUGAAAUGCGUAGAGAUGUGGAGGAAUACCGAUGGCGAAGCAGCCCCCUGGGAUAACACUGACGCUCAUGCACGAAAGCGUGGGGAGCAAACAGGAUUAGAUACCCUGGUAGUCCACGCCCUAAACGAUGUCAACUAGUUGUCGGGUCUUAAUUGACUUGGUAACGCAGCUAACGCGUGAAGUUGACCGCCUGGGGAGUACGGUCGCAAGAUUAAAACUCAGAGGAAUUAACGGGGACCCACACAAGCGGUGGAUGAUGUGGAUUAAUUCGAUGCAACGCGAAAAACCUUACCUACCCUUGACAUGGCAGGAAUCCCGGAGAGAUUCGGGAGUGCUCGAAAGAGAACCUGCACACAGGUGCUGCAUGGCUGUCGUCAGCUCGUGUCGUGAGAUGUUGGGUUAAGUCCCGCAACGAGCGCAACCCUUGUCAUUAGUUGCUACGAAAGGGCACUCUAAUGAGACUGCCGGUGACAAACCGGAGGAAGGUGGGGAUGACGCCAAGUCCUCAUGGCCCUUAUGGGUAGGGCUUCACACGUCAUACAAUGGUACAUACGGAGGGCCGCCAACCCGCGAGGGGGAGCUAAUCCCAGAAAGUGUAUCGUAGUCCGGAUUGCAGUCUGCAACUCGACUGCAUGAAGUUGGAAUCGCUAGUAAUCGCGGAUCAGCAUGUCGCGGUGAAUACGUUCCCGGGUCUUGUACACACCGCCCGUCACACCAUGGAGCGGGUUUUACCAGAAGUAGGUAGCUUAACCGCAAGGAGGGCGCUUACCACGGUAGGAUUCGUGACUGGGGUGAAGUCGUAACAAGGUAACCGUAA